RNAcentral lists this ribosomal RNA (252 nucleotides) under uncultured prokaryote. Its description in RNAcentral is "partial 16S rRNA". It matches the Rfam family "Archaeal small subunit ribosomal RNA", at positions 475 to 726 of the family's 1478-position model. The record is from RNAcentral.
ACCGGCAGCUCAAGUGGUGGCCAUUUUUAUUGGGCCUAAAGCGUUCGUAGCCGGUUUGAUAAGUCUCUGGUGAAAUCCCGCAGCUUAACUGUGGGACUUGCUGGAGCUACUAUUAGACUUGAGGUCGGGAGAGGUUAGGGGUACUCCCAGGGUAGGGGUGAAACCCUAUAAUCGUGGGAGGACAACUUGAGGCGAAGGCGCCUAACUAGAACGACCCUGACGGUGAGUAACGAAAGCCAGGGGCGCGGACCA